CCUACGGGGCGCAGCAGUGGGGAAUAUUGGACAAUGGGCGAAAGCCUGAUCCAGCCAUGCCGCGUGUGUGAAGAAGGCCUUCGGGUUGUAAAGCACUUUCAGUGGGGAAGAAAGCCUUGGGGCUAAUACCCUCGAGGAAGGACAUCACCCACAGAAGAAGCACCGGCUAACUCCGUGCCAGCAGCCGCGGUAAUACGGAGGGUGCGAGCGUUAAUCGGAAUUACUGGGCGUAAAGCGCGCGUAGGCGGUCUGAUAAGCCGGUUGUGAAAGCCCCGGGCUCAACCUGGGAACGGCAUCCGGAACUGUCAGGCUAGAGUGCAGGAGAGGAAGGUAGAAUUCCCGGUGUAGCGGUGAAAUGCGUAGAGAUCGGGAGGAAUACCAGUGGCGAAGGCGGCCUUCUGGACUGACACUGACGCUGAGGUGCGAAAGCGUGGGUAGCAAACAGGAUUAGAUACCCCAGUAGU
This 464-nucleotide ribosomal RNA is filed under the name Vreelandella stevensii. Its description in RNAcentral is "partial 16S ribosomal RNA". It matches the Rfam family "Bacterial small subunit ribosomal RNA", at positions 338 to 794 of the family's 1533-position model. Lineage: Bacteria; Pseudomonadati; Pseudomonadota; Gammaproteobacteria; Oceanospirillales; Halomonadaceae. The record is from RNAcentral.